ACGGUCCUAAGGUAGCGAAAUUCCUUGUCGGGUAAGUUCCGACCUGCACGAAUGGAGUAACGAUGGCCACACUGUCUCCUCUAGAGACUCAGCGAAGUUGAAAUGGUUGUGAAGAUGCAAUCUACCCGCGGUUAGACGGAAAGACCCCAUGAACCUUUACUAUAGCUUUACAUUGGACUUUGAUAACAUCUGUGUAGGAUAGGUGGGAGACUUUGAAGCAGGAUCGCUAGAUCUUGUGGAGUCACCCUUGAAAUACCACCCUGAUGUUGUUGAGGUUCUAACCCAGGUCCCUUAUCGGGAUCGGGAACCGUGUAUGGUGGGUAGUUUGACUGGGGCGGUCUCCUCCCAAAGAGUAACGGAGGAGUGCGAAGGUAACCUAGGCACGGUCGGAAAUCGUGCUGUUAGUGCAAUGGCAUAAGGUUGCUUGACUGCGAGACGGACAUGUCAAGCAGGUACGAAAGUAGGUCAUAGUGAUCCGGUGGUUCUGUAUGGAAGGGCCAUCGCUCAACGGAUAAAAGGUACUCCGGGGAUAACAGGCUGAUACCGCCCAAGAGUUCACAUCGACGGCGGUGUUUGGCACCUCGAUGUCGGCUCAUCACAUCCUGGGGCUGAAGCCGGUCCCAAGGGUAUGGCUGUUCGCCAUUUAAAGUGGUACGCGAGCUGGGUUUAGAACGUCGUGAGACAGUUCGGUCCCUAUCUGCUGUGGGCGUUUGGAGAUUUGAGGGAAGCUGAUUCUAGUACGAGAGGACCGAAUUGGACGAACCUCUGGUGUUCCGGUUGUCACGCCAGUGGCAUUGCCGGGUAGCUAUGUUCGGAAAGGAUAACCGCUGAAAGCAUAUAAGCGGGAAGCCUCUCCCAAGAUUAAAUCUCCCAGAGACUUUAUGUCUCCUAAAGAGUCGUCAUAGACUAUGACGUUGAUAGGCAAGAUGUGUAAGCGCUGCGAGGCGUUGAGCUAACUUGUACUAAUAACUCGUGAGGCUUGAUCAU
Molecule: ribosomal RNA, 987 nt
Filed under: seawater metagenome
Description: bacterial LSU rRNA
Rfam family: Bacterial large subunit ribosomal RNA
Source: RNAcentral